Molecule: ribosomal RNA, 253 nt
Filed under: uncultured bacterium
Lineage: Bacteria
Description: partial 16S ribosomal RNA
Rfam family: Archaeal small subunit ribosomal RNA
Source: RNAcentral
UACCAGCACCCCGAGUGGUCGGGACGUUUAUUGGGCCUAAAGCGUCCGUAGCCGGUUCUACAAGUCUUCCGUUAAAUCCACCUGCUUAACAGAUGGGCUGCGGAAGAUACUAUAGAGCUAGGAGGCGGGAGAGGCAAGCGGUACUCGAUGGGUAGGGGUAAAAUCCGUUGAUCCAUUGAAGACCACCAGUGGCGAAGGCGGCUUGCCAGAAUGCGCUCGACGGUGAGGGAUGAAAGCUGGGGGAGCAAACCGG